This 82-nucleotide transfer RNA is filed under the name Zoogloeaceae bacterium. Its description in RNAcentral is "tRNA-Leu". It matches the Rfam family "tRNA". Rfam says of the family: Transfer RNA (tRNA) molecules are approximately 80 nucleotides in length. Lineage: Bacteria; Pseudomonadati; Pseudomonadota; Betaproteobacteria; Rhodocyclales; Zoogloeaceae. The record is from RNAcentral.
GCGCGGGUGGCGGAAUUGGUAGACGCACCGGAUUUAGGUUCCGACGCUUUACGGCAUGCGGGUUCGAGUCCCGCCCCGCGCA